RNAcentral lists this ribosomal RNA (361 nucleotides) under uncultured bacterium. RNAcentral describes it as "partial 16S ribosomal RNA". It matches the Rfam family "Bacterial small subunit ribosomal RNA", at positions 338 to 696 of the family's 1533-position model. The record is from RNAcentral.
CCUACGGGUGACAGCAGUGAGGAAUAUUGGUCAAUGGGCGGAAGCCUGAACCAGCCAAGUAGCGUGCAGGAUGACGGCCCUACGGGUUGUACACUGCUUUUAUACUGGAAUAAAUCGCCUUACGUGUAUGGCUUUGCAUGUACCGUAUGAAUAAAGACAGGCUAAUUCCGUGCCAGCAGCCGCGGUACUACGGAAGGUCCGGGCGUUAUCCUGCUUUAUUGGGUUUAAAGUGAGCGUAUGCCGCAUGUCAAGUUUGCUGUGAAAUGUCCGGGCUCAACCCGGGCCUUGCAGCGCGGACUAGCGUGCUUUAGUCCGCGGAAGGCAGGCGGAAUUCGUCGUGUAGCGGUGAAAUGCUUAGAUA